This 465-nucleotide ribosomal RNA is filed under the name uncultured bacterium. RNAcentral's name for it is "partial 16S ribosomal RNA". It matches the Rfam family "Bacterial small subunit ribosomal RNA", at positions 339 to 795 of the family's 1533-position model. The record is from RNAcentral.
CUACGGGGUGCUCCAGUGGGGAAUAUUGGACAAUGGGGGAAACCCUGAUCCAGCAAUGCCGCGUGUGUGAAGAAGGCCUGCGGGUUGUAAAGCACUUUCGGUUGGGAGGACUGCUUCUAGCACUAAUAUUGUUGGAAGUUGACGUUACCUUCAGAAGAAGCACCGGCUAACUCCGUGCCAGCAGCCGCGGUAAUACGGAGGAUGCAAGCGUUAAUCGGAAUUACUGGGCGUAAAGCGCGCGUAGGCGGCUAGAUCAGUCGGGUGUGAAAGCCCCGUGCUUAACCUGGGAACUGCAUCCGAUACUGUCUAGCUUGAGUACAGGAGAGGAGAGUGGAAUUCCACAUGUAGCGGUGAAAUGCGUAGAUAUGUGGAGGAACACCAAUGGCGAAGGCAGCUCUCUGGCCUGAUACUGACGCUGAGGUGCGAAAGCGUGGGGAGCAAACAGGAUUAGAUACCCGAGUAGUC